This 253-nucleotide ribosomal RNA is filed under the name uncultured bacterium. RNAcentral's name for it is "partial 16S ribosomal RNA". It matches the Rfam family "Bacterial small subunit ribosomal RNA", at positions 524 to 776 of the family's 1533-position model. The record is from RNAcentral.
UACGUAGGGAGCAAGCGUUGCCCGGAAUCAUUGGGCGUAAAGCGCGCGUAGGCGGCCCCGUAAGUCCGUUGUGAAAGUCAAAGGCUCAACCUUUGAAAGCCGAUGGAUACUGUGGGGCUAGAGUCCGGAAGAGGCGAGUGGAAUUCCUGGUGUAGCGGUGAAAUGCGCAGAUAUCAGGAAGAACACCUAUGGCGAAGGCAGCUCUCUGGGACGGUACUGACGCUGAGACGCGAAAGCGUGGGGAGCGAACAGG